Molecule: ribosomal RNA, 423 nt
Filed under: uncultured bacterium
Lineage: Bacteria
Description: bacterial SSU rRNA
Rfam family: Bacterial small subunit ribosomal RNA
Source: RNAcentral
GGACCCGCACAAGCGGUGGAGUAUGUGGCUUAAUUCGAUGCAACGCGAAGAACCUUACCUAGGCUUGACAUGUAUUGCUAAGCACGUGAAAGCGUGUGACUCUUCGGAGACCUUACACAGGUGCUGCAUGGCCGUCGUCAGCUCGUGUCGUGAGAUGUUUGGUUAAGUCCAGCAACGAGCGCAACCCCUGUGGAUAGUUGCCAGCACGUAAUGGUGGGGACUCUAUCCAGACUGCCCAGGUCAACUGGGAGGAAGGUGGGGAUGACGUCAGGUCAGUAUGGCCCUUACGCCUAGGGCUGCACACGUACUACAAUGCCCAGUACAAUGAGAACCGAUACCGCGAGGUGGAGGAAAUCUACAAAACUGGGCCCAGUUCGGAUUGGAGGCUGCAACUCGCCUCCAUGAAGUUGGAAUCGCUAGUAA